GACGAACGCUGGCGGCGUGCCUAACACAUGCAAGUGGAGCGACGACCCAGGCUUCGGCCUGGUGCAAAAGCCGCGAACGGGUGAGUAACACGUGGGUAACCUGCCCCGAUGAUUGGGACAACCCGAGGAAACUCGGGCUAAUACCGAAUGUGCCCUCCAGCUAUAAGGCUGCUGGGGAAAGGAAGCUUCGGCCUCCGCAUCGGGAUGGGCCCGCGGCCCAUUAGCUUGUUGGUGAGGAAUGGCUCACCAAGGCUACGAUGGGUAGCUGGUCUGAGAGGACGAUCAGCCACACUGGGACUGAGACACGGCCCAGACUCCUACGGAGGCAGCAGUGGGGAAUCUUGCGCAAUGCGCGAAAGCGUGACGCAGCAACGCCGCGUGGGGGAAGACGGCCUCGGUUGUAA
RNAcentral lists this ribosomal RNA (404 nucleotides) under uncultured bacterium. RNAcentral's name for it is "bacterial SSU rRNA". It matches the Rfam family "Bacterial small subunit ribosomal RNA", at positions 28 to 428 of the family's 1533-position model. The record is from RNAcentral.